Molecule: non-coding RNA, 28 nt
Filed under: Rattus norvegicus (Norway rat)
Lineage: Eukaryota; Metazoa; Chordata; Mammalia; Rodentia; Muridae
Source: RNAcentral
UCCACUCUGAUGGGGAAGGUGUACUAGC